UCCGGCAUAGUGUAAUGGUUAACAUACUCCGCUUUCAUCAGUUCGCAUCUGAAGAUCCGGAGAGCUCCGAGUUCGAUUCUCGGUGUCGGAA
Colletotrichum gloeosporioides is the source of this 91-nucleotide non-coding RNA. Lineage: Eukaryota; Fungi; Ascomycota; Sordariomycetes; Glomerellales; Glomerellaceae. The record is from Rfam.